This 511-nucleotide long non-coding RNA is filed under the name Rhipicephalus microplus (southern cattle tick). RNAcentral's name for it is "uncharacterized LOC119161022". The record is from RNAcentral. Lineage: Eukaryota; Metazoa; Arthropoda; Arachnida; Ixodida; Ixodidae.
UGUUUUUCACUGGGAGAUUCAGAGCGACCGCCGAAAUCCCGGAGCGAGCACUCGGAUCGCACGAAGCCACCUCUGCCAGUGAAACACGAGAAUGCUCCGUGAGAGGUGCCCCGGAAGUUGAUUAUGCAUACGUCACGCAAACCGGUUCCGGAAACAGUUUCUUUUUCCGCUCUCUUCGUUUCCUUGGCAACUUUGGCCGCCACUGCAGGGCGCGCAUUUCGACCACGCAGUUAAAGCUUUGUAGAACACUUUAACGCAGUCGCGAACAGCAGUUGUGUAGCAAGUAUGGACGAGCACGCGGAAUUGACACCGGCUGUGCGUCGGCUGUUGCUGGGCGUUUUCAGAAACAGCGGCAACGAUCUGAACGGUGCUACACAGUGUGACGCCACCGACGCUUUGUCACAUACACAGGGCGCAUUUUUAGGAAAUGAUUCUGCAGCGUCUACUGGUGCGUCACCAAGUCGGGCUUGUCAGCCAGGGACUCCUGCACGUGCUGCAGGGUGUGAGUGGC